AGAACUUAAAUCAGAGGGAAAUAAAUUCUAGGCUUUGAAAGCCCCUGGAAGAGUAAGUCCCCUCAGGCCCAGGAAAAGAUGAAGAGGAUACCCAGCGCAGAGGGAGGCGAUCCUAGACACAACCUUUUGUCUGCAGGUUAUCAAGACUGUGUCCUAGAUUCCAAGGUGACAGUGCCACAGUGUCCUGGUGACCAAUUUUCUAUUUCUUCAUCUUCCUUCCAUGGUGGAGAUAUGCCCAUUGAGGAUAAAAUAAGAACUAAGGAGACAGCCCGCAUCACACAACAUUUCACUCAGCUGUGUCGCUGAGCACUGACAAACUCAAUUUACGAAAGGCAAGAGUGAGUUGACACCAUGCUGUGGCAGUUGUCCUGAUGGGAGGAAACGACUCAUUUCCUUCCAAGGUAGAACCCACCUUCUCUGAGAAGCAAGCUUAUGCACAAGAGUAUUGAAGACAAGGAGAAACUGUACAGAAGAAGAUGCAGGAGGUCCGAAGGGAAGUCAGAGACAAAAGCAGGAAGGAAGGAAGCAAGCACUGCUCAUGAAUGGUAUGGAACCUGGGCCCCAAGGCUUCUCUGAGGGAU
Piliocolobus tephrosceles (Ugandan red Colobus) is the source of this 581-nucleotide long non-coding RNA. RefSeq lists it as uncharacterized. NCBI's taxonomy places the organism in Eukaryota, Metazoa, Chordata, Mammalia, Primates, Cercopithecidae. The record is from RefSeq and is a predicted model, not a curated record. The transcript has 5 exons.